Molecule: ribosomal RNA, 479 nt
Filed under: uncultured bacterium
Lineage: Bacteria
Description: partial 16S ribosomal RNA
Rfam family: Bacterial small subunit ribosomal RNA
Source: RNAcentral
AUUGAACGCUGGCGGCAGGCUUAACACAUGCAAGUCGAACGAUGACUCUCUAGCUUGCUAGGGAUGAUUAGUGGCGGACGGGUGAGUAACAUUUAGGAAUCUGCCUAGUAGUGGGGGAUAGCUCGGGGAAACUCGAAUUAAUACCGCAUACGACCUACGGGUGAAAGGGGGCGCAAGCUCUUGCUAUUAGAUGAGCCUAAAUCAGAUUAGCUAGUUGGUGGGGUAAAGGCCCACCAAGGCGACGAUCUGUAACUGGUCUGAGAGGAUGAUCAGUCACACCGGAACUGAGACACGGUCCGGACUCCUACGGGAGGCAGCAGUGGGGAAUAUUGGACAAUGGGGGCAACCCUGAUCCAGCCAUGCCGCGUGUGUGAAGAAGGCCUUUUGGUUGUAAAGCACUUUAAGCAGGGAGGAGAGGCUAAUGGUUAAUACCCAUUAGAUUAGACGUUACCUGCAGAAUAAGCACCGGCUAACUCUGU